UCAUUGAAAACAAUUCUCACUCUUCCUCUCAAGGCUGAAGUAGGAGUUGUGCUAGGACAAUUGCAAAAUCCUCCUUCCAGUUAGCAAACACAAUCUUUCACCACUUCUGUUUUUUAGCUUCUUAAAUCUCUGGGUGCUCCUCCCUUAAGGGUUUCUUGCAUCAGUUCUCAGUUUCGAGGAGUAGGAGAGAAUCUGCUAUUCUCGCCCAAACGAGAAUCCUCUAGCCUAAGGAAGAAUAGCAGAGAAUUCCCCUUUGCCUCUGCGCGAGCUGUCACUUAAGCGAGGCAUUUUGCCCAAGCGAGAACUCAAAAUGAUGCACUGCAUCCUCUGUUCCAGUUCUUGCCCAAGCGAGGAGGUUCUAGCUUAAGCGAGGGGACCCUAUCACUUGGGCGAGCCCUCUUAGCUUGAGCGAGAAUGAGGCAGAUUUAUUGCAAACUCUGUGAUUUCACUUAUAGGUUGAUUUACUUACUCUUAAAAGCAUGAACUUGUGACUACGUAUGUUUUAUGUGAUGAUAUUGUUAUAUGUUGUGCUUGGUAUGAAAUGAGACAUGAAUUGGCUAGUUGGGCAUUAACAUGGGAUUAUAAUGCUUGAGAUAAAAUGUGGAUUUGAUGUGAGAAACAUGGACAUGGCAUGAGUAUACGUAAUUCCAUGAAACUCUUUGCGAGAUUUCAUGGUGGUGUGGUUAAUGUAUGUCUUGAUAUAAGAGAUGUCUAGAUAAAGAAAAGUAUUUUGAACUCUGACAAUCGUGUUCAUACUCAUAUAGAGUAGAAUGAUUUAUGUGGUGAGAGUAGCAGGAGGUCCUAGUCUCUGGCAGGAUAAUGACCUUAGAUA
Molecule: long non-coding RNA, 832 nt
Organism: Vigna unguiculata (cowpea)
Lineage: Eukaryota; Viridiplantae; Streptophyta; Magnoliopsida; Fabales; Fabaceae
Source: RefSeq, a predicted model, not a curated record